This 23-nucleotide microRNA is filed under the name Chrysemys picta bellii (western painted turtle). Its description in RNAcentral is "Cpi-Mir-551-P2_5p* (star (passenger))". The record is from RNAcentral. Lineage: Eukaryota; Metazoa; Chordata; Testudines; Emydidae.
GAAAUCAAGGGUGGGUGAGACCU